GAUGAACGCUAGCGGCAGGCUUAACACAUGCAAGUCGAGGGGCAGCGCGGAGUAGCAAUACUCUGGCGGCGACCGGCGGAAGGGUGCGUAACACGUGAGCAACUUGCCCGUGACAGGGGGAUAAGCGAUGGAAACGUCGUCUAACAUCCCGUAACACGAGGGGAGGCAUCUCCCUUCGUUGAAAACUCCGGUGGUCACGGAUGGGCUCGCGGGACAUUAGCUAGUUGGCGGGGCAACGGCCCACCAAGGCGACGAUGUCUAGGGGUUCUGAGAGGAAGAUCCCCCACACUGGAACUGAGACACGGUCCAGACUCCUACGGGAGGCAGCAGUGAGGAAUAUUGGACAAUGGAGGCAACUCUGAUCCAGCCAUGCCGCGUGAAGGACGAAGGCCCUAUGGGUCGUAAACUUCUUUUGUCAGGGAGCAAUAAGGGCCACGCGUGGUCCGACGAGAGUAC
This 456-nucleotide ribosomal RNA is filed under the name bacterium XBD4004. RNAcentral describes it as "bacterial SSU rRNA". It matches the Rfam family "Bacterial small subunit ribosomal RNA", at positions 28 to 478 of the family's 1533-position model. The record is from RNAcentral.